RNAcentral lists this non-coding RNA (78 nucleotides) under Pseudomonas tolaasii NCPPB 2192. Lineage: Bacteria; Pseudomonadati; Pseudomonadota; Gammaproteobacteria; Pseudomonadales; Pseudomonadaceae. The record is from RNAcentral.
CUCUGUGGGAGCUGGCUUGCCUGCGAUGGCGGUGGUGACUGAUACACCGCUAUCGCAGGCAAGCCAGCUCCCACAUUU